CAAAAGUAGCUGCUAACAGGGUCAUGGACAGUCAUCCGUUGUAAUCGGGAGUAUAGCUGCAAGUGCUUUGAAGUUCAGGACCCUUAUGACUACACUGGACCCACCUAGCUAUCCUGAAUAAUCUCUCAUCUCAUGAUCCUUUAUCCACCUGGAAAAUUCCUUUGCCAUACAAGGUGCUGAUGAGAAAACCACCACUUGGAAAGCUGGGAGAGAACUUUGGCCAGGGGGAUGAAGGAAGGCUCUCCAAGGAGGCUGAGACAUGGGUGUGAGCACCUACUUCAACAGAGAAUCCCUGCCUGGAACUCAGAAACUGCUGAGUUUAUCACCACUCUCUCUGAUUUGCUGAAGUGCUGAGAACUU
Fukomys damarensis (Damara mole-rat) is the source of this 360-nucleotide long non-coding RNA. RefSeq lists it as uncharacterized. The record is from RefSeq and is a predicted model, not a curated record. The transcript is spliced from 3 exons. NCBI's taxonomy places the organism in Eukaryota, Metazoa, Chordata, Mammalia, Rodentia, Bathyergidae.